Molecule: transfer RNA, 68 nt
Filed under: Mogannia minuta
Lineage: Eukaryota; Metazoa; Arthropoda; Insecta; Hemiptera; Cicadidae
Description: tRNA-Tyr
Rfam family: tRNA
About the family: Transfer RNA (tRNA) molecules are approximately 80 nucleotides in length. Their secondary structure includes four short double-helical elements and three loops (D, anti-codon, and T loops).
Source: RNAcentral
AUUGAAGUGGCUGAAAUAAUUAAAGCAAUAAAUUGUAAAUUUAUAUAUGAAUAAACAUUCCUUCAAUA